AGAGUUUGAUCAUGGCUCAGGAUGAACGCUAGCGGCAGGCUUAACACAUGCAAGUCGAGGGGGCAGGCGGGGGUGUAGCAAUACACUGCCGGCGACCGGCGCACGGGUGCGUAACGCGUAUGCAACCUACCCAUAACAGGGGCAUAACACUGAGAAAUUGGUACUAAUUCCCCAUAACAUUCGAAGAGGCAUCUCUUUGGGUUGAAAACUCCGGUGGUUAUGGAUGGGCAUGCGUUGUAUUAGCUAGUUGGG
RNAcentral lists this ribosomal RNA (252 nucleotides) under uncultured bacterium. Its description in RNAcentral is "partial 16S ribosomal RNA". It matches the Rfam family "Bacterial small subunit ribosomal RNA", at positions 8 to 253 of the family's 1533-position model. The record is from RNAcentral.